This 465-nucleotide ribosomal RNA is filed under the name uncultured Klebsiella sp. Its description in RNAcentral is "bacterial SSU rRNA". It matches the Rfam family "Bacterial small subunit ribosomal RNA", at positions 338 to 795 of the family's 1533-position model. Lineage: Bacteria; Pseudomonadati; Pseudomonadota; Gammaproteobacteria; Enterobacterales; Enterobacteriaceae. The record is from RNAcentral.
CCUACGGGCGGCUGCAGUGGGGAAUAUUGCACAAUGGGCGCAAGCCUGAUGCAGCCAUGCCGCGUGUGUGAAGAAGGCCUUCGGGUUGUAAAGCACUUUCAGCGGGGAGGAAGGCGGUGAGGUUAAUAACCUCAUCGAUUGACGUUACCCGCAGAAGAAGCACCGGCUAACUCCGUGCCAGCAGCCGCGGUAAUACGGAGGGUGCAAGCGUUAAUCGGAAUUACUGGGCGUAAAGCGCACGCAGGCGGUCUGUCAAGUCGGAUGGGAAAUCCCCGGGCUCAACCUGGGAACUGCAUUCGAAACUGGCAGGCUAGAGUCUUGUAGAGGGGGGUAGAAUUCCAGGUGUAGCGGUGAAAUGCGUAGAGAUCUGGAGGAAUACCGGUGGCGAAGGCGGCCCCCUGUACAAAGACUGACGCUCAGGUGCGAAAGCGUGGGGAGCAAACAGGAUUAGAUACCCUUGUAGUC